GGCCUAAUACAUGCAAGUCGAGCGGCAAGUUGAGUAGUAAUACUUAACCUAGAGCGGCGCACGGGUGCGUAACGCGUAUGCAACCUACCUUUUACUGGGGGAUAGCCCGGAGAAAUCUGGAUUAAUACCCCAUGGUAUCUACGAAUCGAUUGGUUUGUAGCUUAAAGAUUUAUCGGUAAGAGAUGGGCAUGCGUCUGAUUAGCUAGUUGGCGGGGUAACGGCCCACCAAGGCGACGAUCAGUAGGGGUUCUGAGAGGAAGGUCCCCCACACUGGCACUGAGAUACGGGCCAGACUCCUACGGGAGGCAGCAGUAGGGAAUAUUGGGCAAUGGUCGCAAGACUGACCCAGCCAUGCCGCGUGCAGGAUGAAGGCCCUCUGGGUUGUAAACUGCUUUUAUCUGGGAAGAAAAAGUCCAUGCGUGGAAAAUUGCCGGUACCAGAUGAAUAAGCACCGGCUAACUCCGUGCCAGCAGCCGCGGUAAUACGGAGGGUGCAAGCGUUGUCCGGAUUUAUUGGGUUUAAAGGGUGCGUAGGCGGCUGAAUAAGUCAGCGGUGAAAGACUUCGGCUUAACCGGAGCAGUGCCGUUGAUACUGUUUAGCUUGAGUGUUGGAGGGGUACAUGGAAUUGAUGGUGUAGCGGUGAAAUGCAUAGAUACCAUCAGGAACACCGAUAGCGAAGGCAUUGUACUGGCCAACAACUGACGCUGAGGCACGAAAGUGUGGGGAUCGAACAGGAUUAGAUACCCUGGUAGUCCACACCGUAAACGAUGAUUACUCGCUGUUAUGCUGU
RNAcentral lists this ribosomal RNA (790 nucleotides) under uncultured Flexibacteraceae bacterium. RNAcentral describes it as "bacterial SSU rRNA". It matches the Rfam family "Bacterial small subunit ribosomal RNA", at positions 45 to 831 of the family's 1533-position model. The record is from RNAcentral. Lineage: Bacteria; Pseudomonadati; Bacteroidota; Cytophagia; Cytophagales; Cytophagaceae.